AAGCAGCAUCAGUACAGCGAACGAGGAAAAUCAAGUUCCUUGCCUCGCUGGCGAUGUAGCAAGA
This is a non-coding RNA of Angomonas deanei, 64 nucleotides long. The record is from Rfam. Lineage: Eukaryota; Euglenozoa; Kinetoplastea; Trypanosomatida; Trypanosomatidae.